This is a non-coding RNA of Lupinus albus (white lupine), 703 nucleotides long. Lineage: Eukaryota; Viridiplantae; Streptophyta; Magnoliopsida; Fabales; Fabaceae. The record is from the annotation of a GenBank genome assembly.
UUUCUCUAUCAUCUUCCCUUUCUCUUCAUAACCACUGUCAACACUGCUCUCAAAUUCUCUAUUCUACUCAUGUUACAAAAACAUCAAAAAUAACGCUGCUAAGAAAAGUGAUGAUGCUUUGGUCAACUGGAUGCUAGCUGUGACAUUCAUGAUGGUGCAACAAGAUGAAAUUAUGAUGAAAUAAAGCGGCUAAGGUGAGGGAGAAGACCAUUGUGGUUUUAGAGUAUUUCAUUAGAGUUAUAUUCUCCGAUUUCCCUCAAGAAUCGGAGAGUGUUGUUGGAUAGAAACUCCAUUGGAAGCUUGUUUUUCCAUGUGAGAGUCUUUGUCUUCCAUUAAGAUGUAUUAGCCAUAAACAUGAAAACCGUUUUGUCAACUAAAUGUGAAAUACUCGUUUAUGGUAAUACGUCGUCAUGAAAGAUUGUUCUAUCUUUAUUUGUGGGUAUGAAUGAUGAUAUUGUGAUAAAAAUGAGUUGAUUAUGUAAGGCAUUAACGAUUAUGUUUUGGGUUACCUUAUUGUGGUAAGGAAUAAGAUAUAUUGUGAUUAUGACAUUGAUGUGAUAUUUUAUAUUAUGGUGAAGUCGUGAUGUGAGAAUGACAUAGUGAAACUGAUUAUAGUGUGGGUUGUAUUGUUGCAUUGGCAUGAGAGCGAUUUAAAUUGAUUGUGAGAGUGAUAUUAGGAAUGUACAAGUGUUAUUGGUAUUAG